RNAcentral lists this ribosomal RNA (523 nucleotides) under Sabatinca zonodoxa. RNAcentral describes it as "SSU rRNA". It matches the Rfam family "Eukaryotic small subunit ribosomal RNA", at positions 1197 to 1717 of the family's 1831-position model. The record is from RNAcentral. Lineage: Eukaryota; Metazoa; Arthropoda; Insecta; Lepidoptera; Micropterigidae.
GACUCAACACGGGAAAACUCACCAGGCCCGGACACCGAAGGAUUGACAGAUUGAUAGCUCUUUCAUGAUUCGGUGGGUGGUGGUGCAUGGCCGUUCUUAGUUGGUGGAGUGAUUUGUCAGGUUAAUUCCGGUAACGAACGAGAUUCUAGCCUGCUAAAUAGGCGUCGCCAUUUUGGAAGUCGGGAAUUUUCCCGUACACUCACUGGCGGCGUAUUUAAAUUCUUCUUAGAGGGACCCGGCUUCGAGCCGNCGAGAUUGAGCAAUAACAGGUCUGUGAUGCCCUUAGAUGUCCUGGGCCGCACGCGCGCUACACUGAAGGAAUCAACGUGUCCUCCCUGGCCUAGAGGCCGGGCAACCCGUUGAAUCUCCUUCGUGCUGGGGAUUGGGGUUUGCAAUUGUCCCCCAUGAACGAGGAAUUCCUAGUAAGCGCGAGUCAUAAGCUCGCGUUGAUUACGUCCCUGCCCUUUGUACACACCGCCCGUCGCUAUUACCGAUUGAAUGAUUUAGUGAGGUCUUCGGACCG